AGGACGAACGCUGGCGGCGUGCUUAACACAUGCAAGUCGAGCGGAAAGGCCCUUCGGGGUACUCGAGCGGCGAACGGGUGAGUAACACGUGAGUAAUCUGCCCAUCGCUUCAGGAUAGCCAUCGGAAACGGUGAUUAAUCUGGAUAUGACAUUCCUUCGCAUGUUGGGGUGUGGAAAGGUUUUUUCGGCGGUGGAUGUGCUCGCGGCUAUCAGCUUGGUGGUGGGUAAGUGGCUACAAGGCUUUGCGGGUAGCCGGCUGAGAGGGUGCCGGCAACGACGUGGACUGAGA
RNAcentral lists this ribosomal RNA (289 nucleotides) under uncultured soil bacterium. Its description in RNAcentral is "partial 16S ribosomal RNA". It matches the Rfam family "Bacterial small subunit ribosomal RNA", at positions 26 to 324 of the family's 1533-position model. The record is from RNAcentral.